This 253-nucleotide ribosomal RNA is filed under the name uncultured bacterium. RNAcentral's name for it is "partial 16S ribosomal RNA". It matches the Rfam family "Bacterial small subunit ribosomal RNA", at positions 80 to 334 of the family's 1533-position model. The record is from RNAcentral.
UUUCUUUGCUGGCGACCGGCGCACGGGUGAGUAACACGUAUCCAACCUGCCCUUUACUCGGGGAUAGCCUUUCGAAAGAAAGAUUAAUACCCGAUAGUAUAAUGAUUCCGCAUGGUUUCAUUAUUAAAGGAUUCCGGUAAAGGAUGGGGAUGCGUUCCAUUAGGUUGUUGGUGAGGUAACGGCUCACCAAGCCUUCGAUGGAUAGGGGCUCUGAGAGGAAGGUCCCCCACAUUGGAACUGAGACACGGUCCAA